RNAcentral lists this long non-coding RNA (221 nucleotides) under Lathyrus oleraceus (garden pea). RNAcentral's name for it is "Pisum sativum (pea) long non-coding RNA (PSAT_LNC002999)". Lineage: Eukaryota; Viridiplantae; Streptophyta; Magnoliopsida; Fabales; Fabaceae. The record is from RNAcentral.
UCCACCGGGAUACCCAUUUUUGCCUGAGCCGCCCUUUUGGGUUUUCGACUCACCGGGUGUACUCUUUUUUUUUAUAUAUCCCUAAUUUUUGCCCGAACCUCUUUAUUCUUUUUUUUGGUUCGUCGGGAUGCCCCUUUUUUGCCUGGACUAUUCUUUUUACUGUCCAGCGGGUCUAUUUUAUGCGAAGUAUUUUUUAACCGCGUCUGAGUUAACAGGGGACG